UACAGAGACCUCAAGCGUUAUCCGGUAUUAUUGGGCGUAAAGCGUCCGCAGGUGGUUGAACAAGUCUUUGGUCAAAUCUUGGGGCUUAACUCCAAGACUGCUGAGGAUACUGCUCAACUAGAGGCUGGAAGAGGCAAGCGGAACUGCCGGUGUAGUCGUAAUAAGCGUUGAUAUCGGCAGGAACACCAAAGGCGAAGGCAGCUUGCUAGUACAUGCCUGACACUCAGGGACGAAAGCGUGGGUAGCGAAUAGG
This 253-nucleotide unclassified non-coding RNA is filed under the name Patescibacteria group bacterium. Its description in RNAcentral is "contains 16S-23S intergenic spacer region". It matches the Rfam family "Bacterial small subunit ribosomal RNA", at positions 524 to 776 of the family's 1533-position model. The record is from RNAcentral.